UAAUGUCUGGGAAACUGCCUGAUGGAGGGGGAUAACUACUGGAAACGGUAGCUAAUACCGCAUAAUGUCGCAAGACCAAAGUGGGGGACCUUCGGGCCUCAUGCCAUCAGAUGUGCCCAGAUGGGAUUAGCUAGUAGGUGGGGUAACGGCUCACCUAGGCGACGAUCCCUAGCUGGUCUGAGAGGAUGACCAGCCACACUGGAAUUGAGACACGGUCCAG
Molecule: ribosomal RNA, 220 nt
Filed under: uncultured bacterium
Lineage: Bacteria
Description: partial 16S ribosomal RNA
Rfam family: Bacterial small subunit ribosomal RNA
Source: RNAcentral